Molecule: ribosomal RNA, 473 nt
Filed under: uncultured bacterium
Lineage: Bacteria
Description: bacterial SSU rRNA
Rfam family: Bacterial small subunit ribosomal RNA
Source: RNAcentral
ACGCUGGCGGCACGCUUAACACAUGCAAGUCGAACGGAGUUAUUUGGAGCUUGCUCUGAAUAACUUAGUGGCGGACGGGUGAGUAACACGUGAGCAACCUGCCUUUGAGAGUGGAAUAGCUUCUGGAAACGGAUGGUAAUACCGCAUAACAUUACCGGACCGCAUGAUCUGGUAAUCAAAGAUUUAUCGCUCAAAGAUGGGCUCGCGCCUGAUUAGAUAGUUGGUGGGGUAACGGCCUACCAAGUCGACGAUCAGUAGCCGGACUGAGAGGUUGGACGGCCACAUUGGGACUGAGACACGGCCCAGACUCCUACGGGAGGCAGCAGUGGGGAAUAUUGCACAAUGGGCGGAAGCCUGAUGCCAGCGAUGCCGCGUGGAGGAAGAAGGUUUUCGGAUUGUAAACUCCUUAUCUGAGGGACGAUAAUGACGGUACCUCAGGAGAAAGCUCCGGCUAACUACGUGCCAGCCGCAGC